Molecule: ribosomal RNA, 301 nt
Filed under: uncultured bacterium
Lineage: Bacteria
Description: partial 16S ribosomal RNA
Rfam family: Bacterial small subunit ribosomal RNA
Source: RNAcentral
CAGCCCCACGGGAAUACGGAGGGUGCAAGCGUUAUCCGGAUUUAUUGGGUUUAAAGGGUCCGUAGGCGGACUUAUAAGUCAGUGGUGAAAGCCUGUCGCUUAACGAUAGAACUGCCAUUGAUACUGUAAGUCUUGAGUAUAUUUGAGGUAGCUGGAAUAAGUAGUGUAGCGGUGAAAUGCAUAGAUAUUACUUAGAACACCAAUUGCGAAGGCAGGUUACCAAGAUAUAACUGACGCUGAGGGACGAAAGCGUGGGUAGCGAACAGGAUUAGAUACCCCCGUAGUCCCUGUCUCUUAUACA